CUGGCAUCUCCUGCAUGCACACAGCAGACCCCACAGCAGGGCUGUCUCACCAGGAGACCGCAGACCCAGCGGCCAGCUCCCUCCAGCUCAGGAAGUGGCAUGGGGUGAGGGCUUCCUGCUGCUCCCUGGCCCACUGUGCUGUAGCUCCAGGCUCAAAGCCUUUUCCACUCCACAGUACUGGUGUUCAGAAAUGUGUGAGCACCACACACAACAGCCUAGGACAGCCACCGGCCUCGCCUGGUUCUCAGCAUCGAACCACAACCUCUCACACCCUGGGGAAAAGAGAGGGGGGCUCAGAGGAAGAACCAGCCCUCAGCUCCCAACAUUAGAGUCCAGGGCAUUUAGAUAGUGGAGACAGCACUGUGGUCACUGCACCAUCAGACGGCACUGGCAGGAGCUAGGACGCCAGCCCACGCCAGCCCCGCAAGUUGUCCUGUGUGUGCCCGGUGCCUGGGACAUCUCUGAGGCACUUCAUUUCCACUGCCAGCAUGCUGUCUCCUGGCUCUUGGGUCAUGAGUGUGGGUGGCACUUCUUAGGGACUUGGGGCCAAGUCCUCCUGAAACAGAACCUUCUGCAAGUGCAGAGCCCCUGCACCUCACCUGGUCGGUCAUCACCUCCAUUGAGGAGCCUUGUUCACCUUGUCAUUUGCCCAGACUGGGAUCAGAAGCCAGAUAUUCUGAAGAAAGUGUUCUUCUAGGUUUGCUGCAAGCCACACCAAGCCUGGUGGCAUGGUCACACUCCUCACAUGCAGGGCAGAGGACAACCGGAAGUUGAAGGCCUCGGUGGUCUCUCGUGUCACCUACUAUCUGUGAGAUGAAGACUCUGCUGGGGCUAGCCUUACUUGGGUUUCAGCCCCAAGCAACCCCAUCAGGGCGUUCUGGCUGCCCCCUCAACCAGAACAUGUCUCUUGUCCCCUCUCUCAGUCUGUAGCAUACCUACUGUCCCUAUGAGGACCCCCAGGUCACAGUCUUCCCUGACCCUCCCUGCACAUGUCCCUUGUCCCUCUCUCAGUCUGUAGCAUACCUCCUGUUCAUAUGAGGACCCCAGGUCACAGUCUUCCCUGACCCUCUAAAGCUGCUUGUC
This 1083-nucleotide long non-coding RNA is filed under the name Marmota monax (woodchuck). The record is from RNAcentral. Lineage: Eukaryota; Metazoa; Chordata; Mammalia; Rodentia; Sciuridae.